CACAUACAAGUCGCCGAGAGGGUUACAUUCGGGAUGUGGAGUACAGUGGCGAACGGGUGAGUACACGUGGGUAACCUGCCCUCGGGACCGGGAUAACUGGGCGAAAGGCCCGCUAAUACCGGAUAACGCCACAUGGGCUUCGGUCCAAUGGGUCGAAGUCGGCCUCUCAAAGAAGCUGGCGCCCAAUGAGGGGCUCGCGUACCAUUAGCUUGUUGGUAGGGUAACGGCCUACCAAGGCAAAGAUGGUUAGCUGGUCUGAGAGGAUGAUCAGCCACACUGGAACUGACACACGGUCCAGACUCCUACGGGAGGCAGCAGUGGGGAAUAUUGCGCAAUGGGGGAAACCCUGACGCAGCAACGCCGCGUGGGUGAAGAAGGCCCUCGGGUUGUAAAGCCCUGUCAGGUGCGAAGAACCCUUUUCAGGUUAAUACCCUGGAGGGCUGACGGUACCACCAAAGGAAGCACCGGCUAACUCCGUGCCAGCAGCCGCGGUAAGACUGAGGGUGCAAGCGUAGUUCGGAAUUACUGGGCGUAAAGCGCGUGUAGGCAGUUCGAUAAGUCGAAUGUGAAAGCCCGGGGCUUAACCUCGGAAGCGCACUCGAAACUG
RNAcentral lists this ribosomal RNA (607 nucleotides) under uncultured organism. Its description in RNAcentral is "bacterial SSU rRNA". It matches the Rfam family "Bacterial small subunit ribosomal RNA", at positions 52 to 635 of the family's 1533-position model. The record is from RNAcentral.